This 520-nucleotide ribosomal RNA is filed under the name uncultured bacterium. RNAcentral's name for it is "bacterial SSU rRNA". It matches the Rfam family "Bacterial small subunit ribosomal RNA", at positions 9 to 526 of the family's 1533-position model. The record is from RNAcentral.
GAGUUUGAUCCUGGCUCAGAUUGAACGCUGGCGGCAUGCUUUACACAUGCAAGUCGAACGGGCUUGGGGGCUUGCUCCCAAGUUAGUGGCGAACGGGUGAGUAAUACAUCGGAACGUACCGUGUAGUGGGGGAUAACGUAGCGAAAGUUACGCUAAUACCGCAUACGAUCUACGGAUGAAAGCAGGGGACCUUCGGGCCUUGUGCUAUACGAGCGGCCGAUGUCUGAUUAGCUAGUUGGUGAGGUAAAGGCUCACCAAGGCGACGAUCAGUAGCGGGUCUGAGAGGAUGAUCCGCCACACUGGGACUGAGACACGGCCCAGACUCCUACGGGAGGCAGCAGUGGGGAAUUUUGGACAAUGGGCGAAAGCCUGAUCCACCCAUGCCGCGUGUCUGAAGAAGGCCUUCGGGUUGUAAAGGACUUUUGUCAGGGAGCAAAACUUACUGGUUAAUACCCGGUGAGGCUGAGAGUACCUGAAGAAUAAGUACCGGCUAACUACGUGCCAGCAGCCGCGGUAAUCC